Long non-coding RNA from Juglans microcarpa x Juglans regia, 599 nucleotides. RefSeq lists it as uncharacterized. NCBI's taxonomy places the organism in Eukaryota, Viridiplantae, Streptophyta, Magnoliopsida, Fagales, Juglandaceae. The transcript is spliced from 2 exons. The record is from RefSeq and is a predicted model, not a curated record.
UGUUUUUGAGGUCGUGCUAAAUUUGUGCUUGCCGCCUAUCAAUAGAAAAAAGUACUAUAUUAUUGCUUGCUGCUUGUACUAUAUAACAUGUAAUUUCAUGCUCGAGUUAUUGUUAGCUAUCAUCUACUCUAUUUUGGGUUGUUAAUUGAUAAGAUUCUUCCAGUCUGUUAUAGAUGUCAACUGCUAUGAAACCCUUAGGGGUUGGCUCAAGUGGUAAAAGCCUUGGGCUUGGGGGUGCACUUGUAUGAAACUCCUUUCCGAGGGCCUGUGCGCCCCCGGAAUUAGUCGGGACGCUGUUCCUGGAACGUAUUUGAUGGUAGCCAAUGCAACUGCAAUGAUGGUAGCCAAUGCAACUGACUGGAGGAAAUUUCCCAUGUUGGCAUAAAAAUUAUUAGCAUCAGUAGUAGUGGCAAUAAUUCUAUGCUACCUAGUGAUUCCGCUUGUUUAUGUCCCACAAUCAUAGCCUGUCUUGUAAUGGUAGGAACGUAUUUGAAACUAAUGACUACUAUGGCUCUAUUUAGAUCUAUUUCCUCCUCAUUUCAUUUGCCUUGGAAAUAAAAUGUGUUAAAUACUAGCCAAUGAAGGCUACCAGUUGGGCU